UGCAUGUCUAGCAUGCGAGUCAUUGUAGCAUACAAGGCAUACGGCUCAGCAACGCGUAGUCAACCUAACCUAUGGACGGGAAUAACCUCGGGAAACUGAGAAUAAUGCCCGAUAGAACACUAUACCUGGAAUGGUUUGUGUUCCAAAUGAUUUAUCGCCAUAGGAUGGGACUGCGGCCUAUCAGUUUGUUGGUGAGGUAAUGGCCCACCAAGACUAUUACAGGUACGGGCUCUGAGAGGAGUAGCCCGGAGAUGGGUACUGAGACACGGACCCAGGCCCUAUGGGGCGCAGCAGGCGAGAAAACUUUGCAAUGUGCGAAAGCACGACAAGGUUAAUCCGAGUGAUUUGCGCUAAACGAAUCUUUUGUUAGUCCUAGAAACACUAACGAAUAAGGGGUGGGCAAGUUCUGGUGUCAGCCGCCGCGGUAAAACCAGCACCUCAAGUGGUCAGGAUGAUUAUUGGGCCUAAAGCAUCCAUAGCCGGCUCUGUAAGUUUUCGGUUAAAUCUGUACGCUUAACGUACAGGCUGCCGGGAAUACUGCAGAGCUAGGGAGUGGGAGAGGUAGACGGUACUCGGUAGGAAGUGGUAAAAUGCUUUGAUCUAUCGAUGACCACCUGUGGCGAAAGGCGGUCUACCAGAACAUGUCCGACGGUGAGGGAUGAAGCUGGGGGAGCAACCGGGAUUAGAUACCCGGGUAGUCCAGCCUGUAACUAUGCAACUCAGUGAUGCAUACUUGUGUGAUGCAGUGCUGCAGGCAAGGUCGU
RNAcentral lists this ribosomal RNA (764 nucleotides) under uncultured archaeon. RNAcentral's name for it is "bacterial SSU rRNA". It matches the Rfam family "Archaeal small subunit ribosomal RNA", at positions 38 to 815 of the family's 1478-position model. The record is from RNAcentral.